RNAcentral lists this transfer RNA (72 nucleotides) under Ovis aries (sheep). It matches the Rfam family "tRNA". Rfam says of the family: Transfer RNA (tRNA) molecules are approximately 80 nucleotides in length. Lineage: Eukaryota; Metazoa; Chordata; Mammalia; Artiodactyla; Bovidae. The record is from Rfam by way of RNAcentral.
UCCCUGAUAGCUCAGUUGGUAGAGAAUCUGCCUGCAACGCAGGAGACCCCAGUUCAAUUCCUGGGUUGGGAA